GCCAGGGGUGGUGGCAUGUGCCUAUAGUCCCAGCUGCUUGGGAGGCUGAGGCUGGAAAAUUGCUUGAGUCCAGGAGUUCUGGGCUGUAGUGUGCUAUGCCGAUCAGGUGUCCGCACUAAGUUCGGCAUCAAUAUGGUGACCUCCCGGGAGCAGGGGAUCACCAGGUUGCUUAAAGAGGGGUGAACCAGCCCAGGUUGAAAACAGAGCAGGUCAAAACUCCCGUGCUGAUCAGCAGUGGGAUCGCACCUGUGAAUAGCCACUGCACUCCAGCCUAGGCAACAAAGCGAGACCCUAUCUCU
This 299-nucleotide signal recognition particle RNA is filed under the name Aotus nancymaae (Ma's night monkey). RNAcentral's name for it is "Metazoan signal recognition particle RNA (ENSANAG00000000247.1)". It matches the Rfam family "Metazoan signal recognition particle RNA". Rfam says of the family: The signal recognition particle (SRP) is a universally conserved ribonucleoprotein. The record is from RNAcentral. Lineage: Eukaryota; Metazoa; Chordata; Mammalia; Primates; Aotidae.